AGACGGAGAGGGCUAGCGUUGUUCGGAUUUACUGGGCGUAAAGAGCGCGUAGGCUGCUAGGCAAGUUGGGAGUGAAAGCCCGAGGCUCAACCUCGGAACUGCUCUCAAAACUGCCUGGCUAGAGUAUGGUAGAGGAUAGUGGAAUUCCUAGUGUAGAGGUGAAAUUCUUAGAUAUUAGGAGGAACACCAGUGGCGAAGGCGACUCCCUGGACUCGAACUGACGCUGAGGUACGAAAGCGUGGGUAGCAAACGGGAUUAGAAACCCCAGUAGUCC
This 274-nucleotide ribosomal RNA is filed under the name uncultured bacterium. RNAcentral's name for it is "partial 16S ribosomal RNA". It matches the Rfam family "Bacterial small subunit ribosomal RNA", at positions 523 to 796 of the family's 1533-position model. The record is from RNAcentral.